Molecule: transfer RNA, 67 nt
Filed under: Podarcis lilfordi (Lilford's wall lizard)
Lineage: Eukaryota; Metazoa; Chordata; Lepidosauria; Squamata; Lacertidae
Description: tRNA.Lys
Source: RNAcentral
GCAGCUCAGUUGGUAGAGCACAAGACUCUUCAUCUCAGGGUCGUGGGUCUGAGCCCCACAUUGAGCA